AUGAGAAACUGGAAUGAAGGAGUCUCUCUUAGAACACUGAGAGGACCGCGAACGUAUCGACCAUAUAGCAGUUCAAAUGGGGAGAAUCCAGUUGAUGACUGCGGAACCUCUCGAUAUGCGAAAAGCAGAUUCCUCGGACGAUGAGCGGCCAAAAACACCUCUGCAAGGUCUGCAGCUUCCUUGGAGGUUUUAGGUCGAUGUUCCUCCA
This is a long non-coding RNA of Polypterus senegalus (gray bichir), 208 nucleotides long. RefSeq lists it as uncharacterized. The transcript has 3 exons. NCBI's taxonomy places the organism in Eukaryota, Metazoa, Chordata, Cladistia, Polypteriformes, Polypteridae. The record is from RefSeq and is a predicted model, not a curated record.